GAUGAACGCUGGCGGCGUGCCUAAUACAUGCAAGUCGAGCGAACAGACGAGGAGCUUGCUCCUCUGACGUUAGCGGCGGACGGGUGAGUAACACGUGGAUAACCUACCUAUAAGACUGGGAUAACUUCGGGAAACCGGAGCUAAUACCGGAUAAUAUAUUGAACCGCAUGGUUCAAUAGUGAAAGACGGUUUUGCUGUCACUUAUAGAUGGAUCCGCGCCGCAUUAGCUAGUUGGUAAGGUAACGGCUUACCAAGGCAACGAUGCGUAGCCGACCUGAGAGGGUGAUCGGCCACACUGGAACUGAGACACGGUCCAGACUCCUACGGGAGGCAGCAGUAGGGAAUCUUCCGCAAUGGGCGAAAGCCUGACGGAGCAACGCCGCGUGAGUGAUGAAGGUCUUCGGAUCGUAAAACUCUGUUAUUAGGGAAGAACAAAUGUGUAAGUAGCUAUGCACGUCUUGACGGUACCUAAUCAGAAAGCCACGGCUAACCACGUG
RNAcentral lists this ribosomal RNA (497 nucleotides) under uncultured bacterium. Its description in RNAcentral is "partial 16S ribosomal RNA". It matches the Rfam family "Bacterial small subunit ribosomal RNA", at positions 28 to 507 of the family's 1533-position model. The record is from RNAcentral.